GCGCUCACGUAAACCCAUCUGAUAAGAAUACGGAAUACAUUAGGGAUAUGACAAAAAUAAAAAGUUUUUGGAUGUAUAUCACCGUUUCUAAAAGUUUUAAAUCUGAAGAGUUUGCAGGCUGGCUAUAAUUGUUGGUACGAAUAAGGCGCGAGAUCAUAUUUAACUUUUGAACUGAUUCAACGAAAAACUGAUUUAAAAGCUUGAACUGAUGAACAAGAAGCAACACUGUCAGUGUUAGAACUCGACAACGAAGAGAAUAACUGUGGGCAUGUGAAUCUGAGACCGAUCAAACAGGUCCAUCUGAUGUCAUCUGCAUGUUGCCUUUGGUUUUGCUUCAGUCCGUAGCUACGUAAGACAAAAGUGUACAGACAAGUGGAAGGAAUGAAGGUGUUCUCCGAAAAACAUAAAAAGGGAGUCAUGUCACUAAUGGUACAGACCACCCAAAGAGAGGAGCACACAUUGGCUGCAUUCUGCUUGAUCUGCGUACCACGCUACCCAAACAAUCCCUAUGCUGAGCGGUUGACAGGUGUCUCAGAUCUCCUGUAAGGUUGGUGAAACUGGAGGAUGGGAAAGGAAGA
Long non-coding RNA from Electrophorus electricus (electric eel), 578 nucleotides. RefSeq lists it as uncharacterized. The record is from RefSeq and is a predicted model, not a curated record. Lineage: Eukaryota; Metazoa; Chordata; Actinopteri; Gymnotiformes; Gymnotidae.